This 1373-nucleotide unclassified non-coding RNA is filed under the name uncultured Neocallimastigales. RNAcentral describes it as "partial contains small subunit ribosomal RNA, internal transcribed spacer 1, 5.8S ribosomal RNA, internal transcribed spacer 2, and large subunit ribosomal RNA". The stretch from base 619 to 1373 matches the Rfam family "Eukaryotic large subunit ribosomal RNA", at positions 1 to 617 of the family's 3401-position model. Lineage: Eukaryota; Fungi; Neocallimastigomycota; Neocallimastigomycetes; Neocallimastigales. The record is from RNAcentral.
UUUCCGUAGUGAACCUGCGGAAGGAUCAUUAAUAAAUGGUCUACGUUUUUUUAAGUAGACGCUUAAUAAUCCUACCCUUUGUGAAUUUGUUGUUUUGAAAUAAUUUUUUUUUAAAAUUAUUGAUUGUCUUUCCCUGUUGAAUUGGUUGUCUUAAUGCAAAUGAUUCGCAGGGAGUGUCAGUAAUUUUUAAAAAGACCUUUUUUAAAAUUAAACUUUUGUAUUCAUUUGUCUAAAAAUUAUUUUUAUAAUAUAAAACAACUUUUGACAAUGGAUCUCUUGGUUCUCGCAACGAUGAAGAACGCAGCAAAUGCGAUAAGUAGUGUGAACUGCAGGAUACGUGAAUCAUCGAAUCUUCGAACGCAUAUCGCACUUUUUAGUUUACUAAAAAAGUAUGUCUGUUUGAGUAUCAGUAAAAUAUUCUCAUAAAAACUUUUUGUUUUUAUGGCUAUGAGUGUUUUACAACGAUACAAGUUGUUUCACUUUAAAUUUUUUUUAAAAUUUGAAUUUUUCUAAUUUUAAAAUAAAAUUGGAUAAAAUUUCCCGUAAAAAGGAAUAACUAAACAAUUUUAAUUUUGAUUAGAAUUCUUCAAUUAUAAAGGAAAAUUUAACUAAAUAACUUGAUCUCAAAUCAGAUAAGAGUACCGCUGAACUUAAGCAUAUCAAUAAGCGGAGGAAAAGAAACUAACAAGGAUUCCCUUAGUAACGCCGAGUGAAGCGGGAAGAGCUCAAAUUUGAAAUCUUCAAGGUUUUACCUUGACGAAUUGUAGUUUAAAGAAGGUUUUCUGUUGAAGUUUUGGUAAAAGUUCUUUGGAAUAGGACAUCAUAGAGGGUGAGAAUCCCGUAUUUGACCAUUAUUUUCAGCUGUGUGAUACACUUUCAAAGAGUCGGAUUGUUUGGGAAUGCAGUCCAAAAUGGGUGGUAAAUUUCAUCUAAAGCUAAAUAUUGGCGAGAGACCGAUAGCGAACAAGUACCGUGAGGAAAGAUGAAAAGAACUUUGAAAAGAGAGUUAAACAGUACGUGAAAUUGUCAAAAGGGAAGCGUUUGACACCAGUGUUGUUUUCUCGAAAAUCAAUUAAAAAAAGUUGGAUUUUGUGUUGUAUUGACCUUAACAGCUUGCUUCACUCUUUUCUUGCUUUUUUUUAAUGCACUUUUCGUUUAACAAGUCAACAUCAGUUUCUUUUGUUGUAAAAGGGUCAUUGGAAGGUGGCUUUCACUUCGGAGAAAGUGUUUAUAGCCUUUGAUCUCUGCAAUCGGAGAGACUGAGGUCUGCAGCGUAGAUCCUUCGGGUUAGAUACAUUUGUGCUAAGCUACAGCUUUUCAUAGACAACUUGUUGACUAUGUUUAGUCUUGUAACUUACCCGCUUAUGCUAUUU